This 253-nucleotide ribosomal RNA is filed under the name uncultured bacterium. RNAcentral's name for it is "partial 16S ribosomal RNA". It matches the Rfam family "Bacterial small subunit ribosomal RNA", at positions 524 to 776 of the family's 1533-position model. The record is from RNAcentral.
UACGAAGGGGGCUAGCGUUGCUCGGAAUGACUGGGCGUAAAGGGCGCGUAGGCGGCUUGUAUAGUCGGAUGUGAAAUUCCUGGGCUUAACCUGGGGGCUGCAUACGAGACGUAUGGGCUUGAGUGCGGAAGAGGAGAGUGGAAUUCCCGGUGUAGCGGUGAAAUGCGCAGAUAUCGGGAAGAACACCCGUGGCGAAGGCGGCUCUCUGGGACGGUACUGACGCUGAGACGCGAAAGCGUGGGGAGCGAACAGG